Molecule: non-coding RNA, 459 nt
Organism: Prunus mume (Japanese apricot)
Lineage: Eukaryota; Viridiplantae; Streptophyta; Magnoliopsida; Rosales; Rosaceae
Source: RefSeq, a predicted model, not a curated record
CUCCCCGCGCAGCCUCUCUCCUCCCUGUCAAAACAGCAGCGACGGUUUUUCCGCCGCCACCGCUUCCUCCGGCCACCAUUCGAGGUGGUGUUGGUCUCAAAAUGACCGGCUGGUCUUCCGCUUCCAACCCCAGCCAAGCUCCGUCGCCAGCAGCUGCGAGUUUGGCCGGAAACUGCAGAAAAUCCGGCGGUUUUUCCCGAAUUUUCAAAUCGCUCGUUCUCUCUCAUUUCUCCACCAAAUUGGACGUAUAAGGCCCGUCGGAGAUUGAUUUAUUUUGCCCAGGCCCGUCGGAGUUUGCCCAGGCCCUUCGGAUGUCUUCUUAAUACGAUGCCUUGGAAAGGAAGUGUUAAUAUUUCAAUGUGUUUUUAUCUGAUUUAGAAUUAUGAUAUAUCCGAAAGAUAUAGAGGUUUGGCACAAUUGAAUUAAGGAAGAAAAUAUCAUUUUAUAAUGUUGUGAUAA